RNAcentral lists this ribosomal RNA (532 nucleotides) under uncultured archaeon. RNAcentral describes it as "bacterial SSU rRNA". It matches the Rfam family "Archaeal small subunit ribosomal RNA", at positions 327 to 859 of the family's 1478-position model. The record is from RNAcentral.
GGGGUGCAGCAGGCGCGAAACCUCCGCAAUGUGAGAAAUCGCGACGGGGGGAUCCCAAGUGCCAUUCUUAACGGGAUGGCUUUUCAUUAGUGUAAAGAGCUUUUGGAAUAAGAGCUGGGCAAGACCGGUGCCAGCCGCCGCGGUAACACCGGCAGCUCUAGUGGUAACAAUUUUUAUUGGGCCUAAAGCGUCCGUAGCCGGUUUAAUAAGUCUCUGGUGAAAUCCUGUAGCUUAACUGUGGGAAUUGCUGGAGAUACUAUUAGACUUGAGAUCGGGAGAGGUUAGAGGUACUCCCAGGGUAGAGGUGAAAUUCUGUAAUCCUGGGAGGACCGCCUGUUGCGAAGGCGUCUAGCUGGAACGAUUCUGACGGUGAGGGACGAAAGUUAGGGGCGCGAACCGGAUUAGAUACCCGGGUAGUCCUAACUGUAAACGAUGCGGACUUGGUGUUGGGGUGGCUUUGAGCUGCUCCAGUGCCGAAGGGAAGCUGUUAAGUCCGCCGCCUGGGAAGUACGGUCGCAAGACUGAAACUUAA